AAUAUGGCCCAUGGGAGGGAACUCUGUCUCAGCGACUCCGCGUGAGCGAAGAAUGUUUUCGGAUCUUAAAGCUCUGACCUUGGGGAAGAAGGUUGCCAUUUUUGGACACUUGACGGUACCCAAGGAGGAAGGCCCGGCUAACGUCGUUCCAGCAGCCGCGGUAAUACGUAGGGGGCAACCGUUUUACGGAAUUAUUGGGCGUAAAGGGUGCGUAGGCGGCCUUUUAAGUCAGAUGUGAAAGACCACGGCUUAACCGUGGGGUUGCAAUUGAAACUGGAGGGCUUGAGUAUCGGAGAGGGUAGUGGAAUUCCCAGUGUAGCGGUGGAAUGCGUAGAUAUUGGGAGGAACACCAGUGGCGAAGGCGAAUACCUGGACGAAAACUGACGCUGAGGCACGAAAGCUAGGGGAGCAAACA
RNAcentral lists this ribosomal RNA (415 nucleotides) under uncultured bacterium. Its description in RNAcentral is "partial 16S ribosomal RNA". It matches the Rfam family "Bacterial small subunit ribosomal RNA", at positions 360 to 774 of the family's 1533-position model. The record is from RNAcentral.